GUCUGAGAGGAUGGUCAGCCACACUGGGACUGAGAUACGGCCCAGACUCCUACGGGAGGCAGCAGUCGAGAGGCUUCGGCAAUGGGGGAAACCCUGACCGAGCGACGCCGCGUGCGCGAUGAAGGCCUUCGGGUUGUAAAGCGCUGUCGUGCGGGAAGAAAGGUCCAGCGGCAAACAGUCGAGGGACUAUGACGGUACCGCAAAAGAAGCUCCGGCCAACUCCGUGCCAGCAGCCGCGGUAAUACGGGGGGAGCGAACGUUGUUCGGAAUUACUGGGCGUAAAGGGCGCGCAGGCGGCUUUGUAAGUGGGAUGUGAAAGGUCCUGGCUCAACCAGGGACGUGCGUCCCAUACUGCGGAGCUUGAGUACAGGAGAGGAUGGGGGAAUUCCCGGUGUAGCGGUGAAAUGCAUUGAUAUCGGGAGGAACACCAGUGGCGAAGGCGCCCAUCUGGCCUGUUACUGACGCUGAGGCGCGAAAGCUGGGGGAGCAAACAGGAUUAGAUACCCUGGUAGUCCCAGCUGUAAACGGUGAGCACUAGGUGUGGGGGGCAUCGACCCCUUCCGUGCCGCAGCUAACGCAUUAAGUGCUCCGCCUGGGGAGUACGACCGCAAGGUUGAAACUCAAAGGAAUUGACGGGGGCCCGCACAAGCGGUGGAGCAUGUGGUUUAAUUCGAUGCAACGCGAAGAACCUUACCCAGGCUUGACAUGCACUGGGCUGGUGUGGAAACACACCUUCUCCGUAAGGGGCUGGUGCACAGGUGCUGCAUGGCUGUCGUCAGCUCGUGUCGUGAGAUGUUGGGUUAAGUCCCGCAACGAGCGCAACCCUUGCCUCUAGUUGCCAUCAAGUAAUGUUGAGCACUCUAGAGGGACUGCCGUCGAUAGGACGGAGGAAGGUGGGGAUGACGUCAAGUCCUCAUGGUCCUUACGCCUGGGGCUACACACGUGCUACAAUGGCCGGUACAAAGGGUUGCAAGACCGCGAGGUGGAGCCAAUCCCAAAAAACCGGUCUCAGUUCGGAUUGCAGUCUGCAACUCGACUGCAUGAAGCCGGAAUCGCUAGUAAUCGCUGAUCAGCAGGCAGCGGUGAAUAUGUUCCCGGGCCUUGUACACACCGCCCGUCAAGCCACGAAAGCUGGUAGUACCCGAAGUCGCUGUCCCAACCGUAAGGAGGGAGGCGCCUAAGGUAAGAUUGGUGAUUGGGGCUAAGUCGUAACAAGGUA
Molecule: ribosomal RNA, 1219 nt
Filed under: metagenome
Description: bacterial SSU rRNA
Rfam family: Bacterial small subunit ribosomal RNA
Source: RNAcentral